CUUCACUCUACCAGAAACAACUGCUCACAGGACACAUCUGGCCCCCAUGUCUUUUUAAAUGAAAGGAAAUCAAGAUAAGGUGAAGAGGAGAUCAGUUGCCUCUGCAGAAGGUGUCUGAGAAGGAGAUGUUGAAGCUUUGCUUCUCCUUGUGCUUCUCCUCUUCCCCCAUAAGUCAUCUGAGAAGACUGCUUAAAUAUUCCACGCUGCCUUAGUGUGACUCAAAUUUCCAGCUGUUUUGCUGCCAGGAAGAACCAGGUGCCUUGGGAACAGUGAGGCUGAAAGGAGCAGGAAGCAAAGAAUGAGGCUGUUGAAGAAAUUCCACAGAUAUUUCCGUGGAAGUAUCAAGAAGACCUAGAGUAAGGCAUCAUCAAAUUGAUAGACUUGAACAAAAGGGAGGAGUGAGACAGACGGAUGGAUACAGAGCAUGGAGGGUGGUCAGGAAAGGCAGAGUCUGGAGAAUUUGAGCAGUGAUCUCAACAAAGAAAAGAAGAAAGUCAUAAGAUGAUAAGAACAGAGGAUUUUUUUGGCUAA
This 531-nucleotide long non-coding RNA is filed under the name Homo sapiens (human). Its description in RNAcentral is "HSALNT0367422". Lineage: Eukaryota; Metazoa; Chordata; Mammalia; Primates; Hominidae. The record is from RNAcentral.